CCGAGUGGCGGACGGGUGAGUAACGCGUGGGUAACCUGCCUCAUACAGGGGGAUAACGGUUAGAAAUGACUGCUAAUACCGCAUAAGCGCACAGUACCACAUGGUACGGUGUGAAAAACUCCGGUGGUAUGAGAUGGACCCGCGUCUGAUUAGCUGGUUGGUGGGGUAACGGCCCACCAAGGCGACGAUCAGUAGCCGACCUGAGAGGGUGACCGGCCACAUUGGGACUGAGACACGGCCCAG
Molecule: ribosomal RNA, 243 nt
Filed under: uncultured bacterium
Lineage: Bacteria
Description: partial 16S ribosomal RNA
Rfam family: Bacterial small subunit ribosomal RNA
Source: RNAcentral